This 378-nucleotide unclassified non-coding RNA is filed under the name plant metagenome. RNAcentral's name for it is "partial contains 5.8S ribosomal RNA, internal transcribed spacer 2, and large subunit ribosomal RNA". The stretch from base 1 to 105 matches the Rfam family "5.8S ribosomal RNA", at positions 50 to 154 of the family's 154-position model. The record is from RNAcentral.
GAAAUGCGAUAAGUAAUGUGAAUUGCAGAAUUCAGUGAAUCAUCGAAUCUUUGAACGCACCUUGCGCUCCUUGGUAUUCCUUGGAGCAUGCCUGUUUGAGUAUCAUGAAAUCUUCAAAGUAAAUCUUUUGUUAACUCAAUUGGUUUCUACUUUGGUAUUGGAGGUCUUUGCAGCUUCACACCUGCUCCUCUUUGUUCAUUAGCUGGAUCUCAGUGUUAUGCUUGGUUCCACUCGGCGUGAUAAGUUAUCUAUCGCUGAGGACACUGUAAAAGGUGGCCAAGGUAAAUGCAGAUGAACCGCUUCUAAUAGUCCAUUAACUUGGACAAUACUUUUAUGAUCUGAUCUCAAAUCAAGUAGGACUACCCGCUGAACUUAAGC